This 1372-nucleotide ribosomal RNA is filed under the name uncultured bacterium. RNAcentral describes it as "bacterial SSU rRNA". It matches the Rfam family "Bacterial small subunit ribosomal RNA", at positions 28 to 1381 of the family's 1533-position model. The record is from RNAcentral.
GAUGAACGCUGGCGGCGUGCCUAAUACAUGCAAGUCGAGCGAACGGACGAGAAGCUUGCUUCUCUGAUGUUAGCGGCGGACGGGUGAGUAACACGUGGAUAACCUACCUAUAAGACUGGGAUAACUUCGGGAAACCGGAGCUAAUACCGGAUAAUAUUUUGAACCGCAUGGUUCAAAAGUGAAAGACGGUCUUGCUGUCACUUAUAGAUGGAUCCGCGCUGCAUUAGCUAGUUGGUAAGGUAACGGCUUACCAAGGCAACGAUGCAUAGCCGACCUGAGAGGGUGAUCGGCCACACUGGAACUGAGACACGGUCCAGACUCCUACGGGAGGCAGCAGUAGGGAAUCUUCCGCAAUGGGCGAAAGCCUGACGGAGCAACGCCGCGUGAGUGAUGAAGGUCUUCGGAUCGUAAAACUCUGUUAUUAGGGAAGAACAUAUGUGUAAGUAACUGUGCACAUCUUGACGGUACCUAAUCAGAAAGCCACGGCUAACUACGUGCCAGCAGCCGCGGUAAUACGUAGGUGGCAAGCGUUAUCCGGAAUUAUUGAGCGUAAAGCGCGCGUAGGCGGUUUUUUAAGUCUGAUGUGAAAGCCCACGGCUCAACCGUGGAGGGUCAUUGGAAACUGGAAAACUUGAGUGCAGAAGAGGAAAGUGGAAUUCCAUGUGUAGCGGUGAAAUGCGCAGAGAUAUGGAGGAACACCAGUGGCGAAGGCGACUUUCUGGUCUGUAACUGACGCUGAUGUGCGAAAGCGUGGGGAUCAAACAGGAUUAGAUACCCUGGUAGUCCACGCCGUAAACGAUGAGUGCUAAGUGUUAGGGGGUUUCCGCCCCUUAGUGCUGCAGCUAACGCAUUAAGCACUCCGCCUGGGGAGUACGACCGCAAGGUUGAAACUCAAAGGAAUUGACGGGGACCCGCACAAGCGGUGGAGCAUGUGGUUUAAUUCGAAGCAACGCGAAGAACCUUACCAAAUCUUGACAUCCUUUGACAACUCUAGAGAUAGAGCUUUCCCCUUCGGGGGACAAAGUGACAGGUGGUGCAUGGUUGUCGUCAGCUCGUGUCGUGAGAUGUUGGGUUAAGUCCCGCAACGAGCGCAACCCUUAAGCUUAGUUGCCAUCAUUAAGUUGGGCACUCUAAGUUGACUGCCGGUGACAAGCCGGAGGAAGGUGGGGAUGACGUCAAAUCAUCAUGCCCCUUAUGAUUUGGGCUACACACGUGCUACAAUGGACAAUACAAAGGGCAGCGAAACCGCGAGGUCAAGCAAAUCCCAUAAAGUUGUUCUCAGUUCGGAUUGUAGUCUGCAACUCGACUACAUGAAGCUGGAAUCGCUAGUAAUCGUAGAUCAGCAUGCUACGGUGAAUACGUUCCCGGGUCU